AAAACUGUCAAUGUACGUACAAUACAAAUAUAGGCUAUGCGCAGUUUAAUGUAUUUAGUUUACAAAUUUUAAGUGAUGUAAUAAUCAAGUGAAUAAUAUUGUUUAUUAAUUUCAAUGUUUUUUAUUUUCUCUCUAUAGUGAUUACCAAUUCAGGAUGAAAAUAGUUACAUGUGAUAGCUUGCUUUGCGAUUCUGUUAUGUCUUAACCUUACAAUGACAAUAUUCUACAUUAAAUUUAAAAUACCAAUGAAUUCCAAACAUUUUUUUUAUUCAGUUACUAUAACAAACAAUAUUUUACAGAAGUAUGCAGCUCUACAUUUUAAAUUCUAACCAAAGACCAUUACACACCAAAGAAGAAGACCCCGUUACACCCCAUGAGACAAAUGGAUAUACAUUUCAUUUUCUUAAGGCUAACGCUAUAAAAAUUUGUGUCAACUAAGUUCUCCUCUAUGUUCAAUCAUUUUUCUGGAAAAGAGAGCACAUUAUUUUCAACAACGAUAAAAAGAAUCCGACAUUACCAUAUAGUAGUAUUUUAUCAAAAGAAUUGAAAAUGGAAUGCAUCCUAGUUUUUACAAAUUUAAAAGACAUAUAAGAAAUACAUUAUAAUAAGAAUUCUUUUCUUGUACAAAAUGUAUUGCUAAGCCUUGUAUCAGAUAUGCUGUGUGAAUCAAUAUGCAAAUAGAAUGCAGCAACAGUGAAAAGGAUCUGGUGUUCAAUUAAUUUACUAAAAGAGAGAGAGUAUGAUUUUUCACUACGAUAUGCAGAAUCCAACAACACUGUAAUCAUGAAAGAUUUUAGAAGACGCUAAGUAAAGUGUUCUUUUCUCACAUUGGAAAGAAACUAUGUCCUAUAGUAUUCUAUCGAAAGAAUUAAAGAAGGAAUGCAUCCUAGUUAUCAGAAAUUUAAAUAACAAAUAGCAAAUACAUCUCAUUAGGAUAUUCUUAAUAUAUAAAAAGUGUACUGCCAAGCUUUGUACUGAGUAAUUAAGAAGACUUUUAAGAAUCAACUGGCAACAAGUAAUGCAAAGAAUACUAUUCUUUAGAAAUACGAGAUAUUGUUAAAGCAGAAAUGCCAUUAAUAAGAAAUAUUGAAAGAAUGGUCUUACUUUCACAAAAAUAAAGAAGAAGAAAAUAAUCUUAACUGGAAAUCAAAUUCUACUGAUCACCAAAGUUUUUCAAAUGCUUUCUAUGAUUAAACUGUACUUGUGCCAUAUAUAAUUUUUAAUAAGGAUCAUUUUAUAUAAUUUAAAAGGGUUUUUUGUGUAAUUUCGUAAUAGAAAAAGAGAUUAAAAGACUAAUCUAGAAGCACAAGAUCUGAGUAGAAAAGAAGAAAACUGUAUUAUCAUGAAGAAACAUAUCACAUUAUUUUACAUUGGGUAGCAUUAUAUAAUAAUAUAAAAUGUAUUUGUUGUUUCAUUCAACGGAUUGCUAUAUGAAUUUUCUUAAAAAUAAUAUGUUUGUAUACUUAAUACUCCGAGUCUGAGUUUGUAAGUAAAGAAUGAAAAUUAUUAUUUAUUAAAUAUAUCUUUAAUUUAAAG
Molecule: long non-coding RNA, 1536 nt
Organism: Polistes canadensis
Lineage: Eukaryota; Metazoa; Arthropoda; Insecta; Hymenoptera; Vespidae
Exons: 6
Source: RefSeq, a predicted model, not a curated record